UAUAAAUUAUUGAUGCAGUAUAUAUAAGGAUACACAGACGUAUACAUGGACAGUCGGAAUACCUAAGCGCUGAAGAUGAAGUUCCUCUUUCUGUUGGUUUCCAUAAUGCUGGUAGUUCUCGCAGCUGCGGGAGCGAUGAGCGCCGGGCGGCCUCUGGGGCAUUCUGCAGGGAUGCAGGGCUCCGCACGCGCCGCAGCCUGCAAGGGCGGGCCUCCGCCACCUCCUCCACCCACCAAUGCAACCGGAUAACAUUUCGCCACCUGCAAACCGAAACCGGCAUGACCAAAGCGACGAUAACGGCAACAACAAUAAUAAUAACAAUAAUCAAUAAAAUAUAUAUCUCUAACCACA
Molecule: long non-coding RNA, 351 nt
Organism: Leptidea sinapis
Lineage: Eukaryota; Metazoa; Arthropoda; Insecta; Lepidoptera; Pieridae
Exons: 3
Source: RefSeq, a predicted model, not a curated record